GAGCUGGCUGAUGGAGUGUGUGUCGCUGUGGCUAGCGUAGGGCGGUGACUAGCGGCGGUCUGGGGCUGCUCACCUUCGGUCAGGUUCAGAAACCCAAGAAAUGGAGCGCAGUUCCUGCUGAACGCCGGCAGCAGUGGAGGGGCCCGGAAGCGCUAUCCGAACAGCGUGAGCCUCUGGCAGAGAAAAGAAGGCUCUAAAAGUGUACUCCUACUCCGGCGGGGUCUGGGUCUUGGGUGAUACCGACCGAGGCGGAAAAGAUGUGGGCGCGGCUCCCGUCUUUGAGGCUCCGAGGAGCCCUGAGACCUUGGUUCUGGCGGCUCCCGGAGGCAGUCGAGUGAUUGCCCUUCAAAGAGCAUCCGCCGGGUGGUUUGUGUGGUUGUGUACUUUUAGCUGACUGUACCGCCACAUCACGUAGGAGUCGUCUCCAUUUUAUUGAUUGGGAAUGUAAGGCUCAAGGAACUUGGGUUUACUGGCCAAGAUGGCAUAUUCACCAACAUCAAGUUCUGUAAUAGUGACUAUGAUCAACUCUUAGUCAGGCCAUGGUAUACCCAUGUAAACACAAACCUUGAAGACCUGGGAGUUCAAUACCAGUUUCUGCAAGACUC
RNAcentral lists this long non-coding RNA (605 nucleotides) under Mus pahari (shrew mouse). RNAcentral's name for it is "lncRNA (MGP_PahariEiJ_G0012049.1)". Lineage: Eukaryota; Metazoa; Chordata; Mammalia; Rodentia; Muridae. The record is from RNAcentral.